Molecule: ribosomal RNA, 650 nt
Filed under: uncultured marine bacterium
Lineage: Bacteria
Description: bacterial SSU rRNA
Rfam family: Bacterial small subunit ribosomal RNA
Source: RNAcentral
CAAUACUGAGUGGCAAACGGGUGAGUAUAAUGUGGGAAUCUGCCUUUUGGUUUGGAAUAACACGGGGAAACUUGUGCUAAUACCGAAUAAGCCUUCACAGGGAAAGUUUUAAUGCCGAAAGAUGAGCCUGCACUUGAUUAGCUAGUUGGUAAGGUAAAAGCUUACCAAGGCAACGAUCAAUAGCUGUUCUUAGAGGAAGACCAGCCACAUUGGGACUGAGACACGGCCCAGACUCCUACGGGAGGCAGCAGUGGGGAAUCUUGCACAAUGGGGGAAACCCUGAUGCAGCGAUGCCGCGUGAGUGAAGAAGGCCCUUGGGUUGUAAAACUCUUUCGUCGGGGAAGAAAAUGACUGUACCCGAAUAAGAAGGUCCGGCUAACUUCGUGCCAGCAGCCGCGGUAAUACGAAGGGACCUAGCGUAGUUCGGAAUUACUGGGCUUAAAGAGCUCGUAGGUGGUUAAAAUAGUUGAUGGUGAAAUCCCAAGGCUCAACCUUGGAACUGCCAUCAAAACUUUUUAGCUAGAGUGUGAUAGAGGUAAGUGGAAUUUCUAGUGUAGAGGUGAAAUUCGUAGAUAUUAGAAAGAACACCAAAUGCGAAGGCAACUUACUGGGUCACUACUGACACUGAGGAGCGAAAGCAUGGGUAGCGA